GGGAGCAGAUAGGUGCCGGUGUGCCUCCUGGUCUUCAAAACCAGUGUGGGGCGCUAAUCCCGUCCCGGAUGGGUUCGAUUCCCAUAUGUUCCCGCCA
This 97-nucleotide transfer RNA is filed under the name Mediterraneibacter torques. RNAcentral's name for it is "[Ruminococcus] torques tRNA-seC(tca)". It matches the Rfam family "Selenocysteine transfer RNA". The record is from RNAcentral. RNAcentral also lists the same sequence under 18 other names. Lineage: Bacteria; Bacillati; Bacillota; Clostridia; Lachnospirales; Lachnospiraceae.